GUUGAAACACUGGUUCUUGUAUGAUCACCUAAGUUAAGCAACUACAAGCCUGGUCAGUACCUAGGUAGGUGACAGCUUGGGAAUACCAGGUGUUUCA
Non-coding RNA from Acanthosepion pharaonis, 97 nucleotides. The record is from the annotation of a GenBank genome assembly. NCBI's taxonomy places the organism in Eukaryota, Metazoa, Mollusca, Cephalopoda, Sepiida, Sepiidae.